This 274-nucleotide ribosomal RNA is filed under the name uncultured bacterium. RNAcentral's name for it is "partial 16S ribosomal RNA". It matches the Rfam family "Bacterial small subunit ribosomal RNA", at positions 523 to 796 of the family's 1533-position model. The record is from RNAcentral.
AUACGGAGGGGACUAGCGUUGUUCGGAAUUACUGGGCGUAAAGCGUACGUAGGCGGAUCGGAAAGUAUAGGGUGAAAUCCCAGGGCUUAACCCUGGAACUGCCUUAUAAACUCCCGGUCUUGAGUUCGAGAGGGGUGAGUGGAAUUCCGAGUGUAGAGGUGAAAUUCGUAGAUAUUCGGAGGAACACCAGUGGCGAAGGCGGCUCACUGGCUCGAUACUGACGCUGAGGUACGAAAGUGUGGGGAGCGAACAGGAUUAGAAACCCCAGUAGUCC